Hippoglossus stenolepis (Pacific halibut) is the source of this 228-nucleotide non-coding RNA. The record is from RefSeq and is a predicted model, not a curated record. Lineage: Eukaryota; Metazoa; Chordata; Actinopteri; Pleuronectiformes; Pleuronectidae.
UAUGCAGCCUUGUGAGCCUGCCCCUUGCAAACCCUGUUGCCUGUGGGCCACAACAAGGCUGCAGAAAGCAACACAAAGAAUGAAAAGGCGUGACUUCUCGAGGCUCGGGAGCUUCACGUGCGAUGUUCCUUGGACAGACUCCUGCCUCCCACGGAGGUGGUGGUUUCGCUCUGUGGCCAUCACCUUUCUUGAGGCAGGUAGAGCAAAGAAAGGGAAAAAAAAAAAAAU